AUUGAACGCUGGCGGCAUGCCUUACACAUGCAAGUCGAACGGCAGCACGGGGGGCAACCCUGGUGGCGAGUGGCGAACGGGUGAGUAAUACAUCGGAACGUGCCCGGUAGGUGGGGGAUAGCUCGGCGAAAGCCGGAUUAAUACCGCAUACGACCUGGCGGGUGAAAGGCGGGGGAUCGCAAGACCUCGCGCUAUCGGAGCGGCCGAUGUCAGAUUAGGUUGUUGGGUGGGGUAAAGGCCACCAAGCCGACGAUCUGUAGCUGGUCUGAGAGGA
RNAcentral lists this ribosomal RNA (274 nucleotides) under uncultured bacterium. RNAcentral describes it as "partial 16S ribosomal RNA". It matches the Rfam family "Bacterial small subunit ribosomal RNA", at positions 28 to 300 of the family's 1533-position model. The record is from RNAcentral.